AAGGGACACCAGAGGAACUGUGGCUGGACCUGGUCAAGUCACUCAAACUCGCACGACAAGGAUGGACAGACUCGCGCAUCUCUCCAUAGACGACCGCGAGUUAAUGUCGAGGCAAAUUAUGCAGGCAAUCUCAGGAAUGUUGUGUUCGCAGAGAUGAUGAACUCUGAGUGCAUGUCGGGCCGGGACUACCAGGGAUGGGUAGAUUUCGGACGUCGAAGCGCAGAGUUCUAUCGUCGCUGAAAUUGGAGGAACCAAUAAUUUCUUAUUUUAUGGAUAUAUAGUAUCUUCACAUUUUGAUUAUUUGCAACUGUAGCUAUGUAGAUUACUUUGUGUCUUUUCUCAAUUACAAAAUAAACAUGCAUAGCUUCUAACAACUGCAAACCUAUUAUUUUUUUUAGAUUUAAGGUUGUCGAUAUUCAGCAGAAAAGCCAGUUUGGUCUGUGUGCACUUUGAGCUAUUAAAAAGUUCAGAUUUAAGCAGGUCAAAAUCUGACCAGUCUGGGCACUAAAUUGUUAAGAAGAAUAUCUGAAUGGUUCUUUCAAGGUGAGAAAAGACAAUACGAAUUAUGUUACAACUUCUGUCGAAGAACUUCUAAGAAUAGAGUUUAACAGACAAGCACAAGCACCUUAGGUCUGAUGGAAAUACAAUGCACAUUUUAAUCCACAGGUAGUACAAUAGAUACACACAUUCACACACACAUAUAUAGAACAGUGAUUAUUAAAUAGACUUCAGCAGACAAUAAUCAUUUUUCUACAUCUCAGAUGUAAAUUACUGUUGGUGAUUAUUUUGUCUCUGUACACAUUUUCUUCAUUUGCUAUGAUUUUUCCCUUUUUAAUAUGCAGUAUCCUAUGCCAUGUUUUUGUUGCAUUUGAUUGUCCAGGCAGCCUAAGAAAAGCCUCAUAAAACAAUUGGAUAAUUUGUUUUUUUCAAAUUUAUCUUUAGUGACACAUUUAUUUACAUAAGGUAUCCCCCUCGGCACAAUUCUAUAACUUUGAGAGAAUUCACUUAGAAUGCCUAGAUCUGAAAUAUUUUCCUCCCCUUCUAUACGGUCCACUAUCGAAAUGCCAUGAUAACUUGAUUAAAAUAUUGGUACCAGCAACAUUUUAUGGGUAAAUUCAUUACACAUCUUAUUAAUCCCAUCUUGUUUGUUGGCUUUGAUACAGCAUGGAAGACAACCUGAAUGCUUUUGAGCGAGGUUUGACUAAUACGCACAGUCACAAUGAUCGACAGCAUUUGGAUGUAAAGCAUUUCACGGUGGCUUGCAGUGAGUGAUGAGCGAAGCCAUGCCAAUGCAGUUCAGUGAGCUACGCGAGUGCAGUGCAAGACUUGAGGAUUCAGUGAUGAGUGAUACAGGUGACGUCACAAAUCCUCCUGUACAGCUUCAGUGUAUCAUGUCGGCCAUUUUGAGGCAGAUAGUGAUUGGAGUGCGAGAACUUUUCACACCGUCAGGUGAAUGGUGGUUAGGCUACAUGCUUCAUUCACUGAUAGCAGCUAAUAAGCAGAAAUACUUUUCUGUGCAGUUUUUCUUUUCUAUGAAAGUGACAGA
Osmerus eperlanus (European smelt) is the source of this 1546-nucleotide long non-coding RNA. RefSeq lists it as uncharacterized. Lineage: Eukaryota; Metazoa; Chordata; Actinopteri; Osmeriformes; Osmeridae. The transcript has 2 exons. The record is from RefSeq and is a predicted model, not a curated record.